UUGAUCCUGGCUCAGAAUCAACGCUGGCGGCGUGCCUAACACAUGCAAGUCGAACGCGAAAGUUCCGCAAGGAAUUAGUAGAGUGGCAAACGGGUGAGUUACACGUGGGUGACCUGCCUUCGAGUGGGGGAUAACGUCCCGAAAGGGACUCUAAUACCGCAUAAUAUCCUGCCUUUUAAGAGGUGGAAAUCAAAGCCGGUGAUCGCAAGACCUGGCGCUUGAAGAGGGGCCCGCGUCCGAUUAGCUAGUUGGUGGGGUAACGGCUCACCAAGGCGACGAUCGGUAGCCGGCCUAAGAGGUCGGACGGCCACACUGGGACUGAGACACGGCCCAGACUCCUACGGGAGGCUGCAGUGGGGAAUUGUUCGCAAUGGGCGCAAGCCUGACGACGCAACGCCGUGUGGAGGAUGAAGACCUUCGGGUCGUAAACUCCUUUCGAUCGAGACGAAUGGCCUUCGGGUUAAUAACCCGGGGGAGUGACGGUACCGAGAGAAGAAGCUCCGGCUAACUCCGUGCCAGCAGCCGCGGUAAUAAGGU
This 537-nucleotide ribosomal RNA is filed under the name uncultured Acidobacteriota bacterium. RNAcentral's name for it is "bacterial SSU rRNA". It matches the Rfam family "Bacterial small subunit ribosomal RNA", at positions 13 to 529 of the family's 1533-position model. The record is from RNAcentral. Lineage: Bacteria; Pseudomonadati; Acidobacteriota.